Acanthaster planci (crown-of-thorns starfish) is the source of this 357-nucleotide long non-coding RNA. Lineage: Eukaryota; Metazoa; Echinodermata; Asteroidea; Valvatida; Acanthasteridae. The record is from RefSeq and is a predicted model, not a curated record.
AGCGAUUCAUUGGAAUGGUAACUACCGCAGAAUAUUCGGAGAUAUUGCCAUUGAUGACGUUCAAGCUAAAGUCCCUUGUGCUGAUUGUGACUUCGAGAGAGAUAUGUGUGGAUGGAUCCAGUCGACAGAAGACGAUGCGGACUGGAAUUGUCGACACCAGGGACAAACAAAAUCGGGAGGCACUGGUCCAGAAUUGGACAGGACCACAGGAGAUACCAAUGGUCACUAUUGCUACUUGGAGGCGAGUAGUCCUCUGAGUGCAGGAGAUAAUGCCGUGCUGCUCAGUGGCAUAUUCGAGUAUGAUCCCAAAUAUCCCGGUCUAACGUGGUAUGUCAACUUCUGGUACAACAUGUACGG